Molecule: ribosomal RNA, 728 nt
Filed under: uncultured bacterium
Lineage: Bacteria
Description: bacterial SSU rRNA
Rfam family: Bacterial small subunit ribosomal RNA
Source: RNAcentral
CGGACUUAACUCAUUCUUUUAGAUUGAGAGCGGUUAGUGGCGCACUGGUGAGUAACACGUAAGCAACCUGCCUAUCAGAGGGGAAUAACAGUGAGAAAUCAUUGCUAAUACCGCAUAAGCUAGUAGUAUCGCAUGAUAUAGCUAGAAAAGGAGCAAUCCGCUGAUAGAUGGGCUUGCGUCUGAUUAGCUAGUUGGUGGGGUAACGGCCUACCAAGGCGACGAUCAGUAGCCGGACUGAGAGGUUGAACGGCCACAUUGGGACUGAGAUACGGCCCAGACUCCUACGGGAGGCAGCAGUCGGGAAUAUUGCGCAAUGGAGGAAACUCUGACGCAGUGACGCCGCGUAUAGGAAGAAGGUUUUCGGAUUGUAAACUAUUGUCGUGAGGGAAGAAAUUGACAGUACCUCAGGAGGAAGCUCCGGCUAACUAUGUGCCAGCAGCCGCGGUAAUACAUAGGGAGCGAGCGUUAUCCGGAUUUAUUGGGCGUAAAGCGUCCGCAGCCGGUUUAUUAAGUAUAGAAUAAAACUUCGGGGCUCAACCCCGUCUCGUUCUAUAAACUGAUAGACUAGAGUGUGGUAGAGGCAAGUGGAAUUUCUAGUGUAGCGGUAGAAUGCGUAGAUAUUAGAAGGAACACCAGUGGCGAAGGCGACUUGCUGGGCCAUCACUGACGGUCAGGGACGAAAGCGUGGGGAGCGAAUAGGAUUAGAUACCCUAGUAGUCCACGCCGUA